This 564-nucleotide ribosomal RNA is filed under the name Arthroleptis sylvaticus (forest screeching frog). RNAcentral describes it as "partial 16S ribosomal RNA". It matches the Rfam family "Bacterial large subunit ribosomal RNA", at positions 1829 to 2597 of the family's 2925-position model. Lineage: Eukaryota; Metazoa; Chordata; Amphibia; Anura; Arthroleptidae. The record is from RNAcentral.
CGCCUCUUGACUAACUAUAAGAGACCCAGCCUGCCCACUGAUAUAUUUAACGGCCGCGGUACCCUGACCGUGCAAAGGUAGCACAAUCACAUGUUCUCUAAAUAGGGACUAGUAUGAAUGGCACCACGAAGAUUAUACUGUCUCCUUUCUACAAUCAGUGAAACUGAUCCCCCCGUGAAAAAGCGGGGAUUAUACUAUAAGACGAGAAGACCCCAUGAAGCUUCAAGCUAAAUAUCAACUACCACCGCUAAACCACCGGAAGUCCUGGCAGACCUGACUAUCAAAUUUUGGUUGGGGCAACCGCGGAGCAAAAUAAAACCUCCGCAUAUUCAUGACAUAGUGGACAACCACUUAACUUAAGAACAACACUUCUAAAAAACCAACACAUUGACCCCCCCUCUGAUCCAAAUCUUUGAUCUAAGAACCAAGUUACUCUGGGGAUAACAGCGCAAUCUAUUUCAAGAGUACAUAUUGACGAAUAGGUUUACGACCUCGAUGUUGGAUCAGGGUGUCCCAGUGGUGCAGAUGCCACUAGUGGUUCGUUUGUUCAACGAUUUAAACCCU